CCACAAUGGACGAAAGUCUGAUGGAGCGACGCCGCGUGCGGGAUGAAGGCCUUAUGGGUUGUAAACCGCUGUCAGGGGGGAAGAACAUCGGAAUGAACAAUACUCAUUCCGACUGACGUUACCCCCAGAGGAAGCUCCGGCCAACUCCGUGCCAGCAGCCGCGGUAAUACGGGGGGGAGCAAGCGUUGUCCGGAGUUAUUGGGCGUAAAGGGCGUGUAGGCGGCGAGGUAAGUCGAAUGUGAAAUCUCACGGCUCAACCGUGAAACUGCGUUCGAAACUACCCUGCUUGAGUACGGGAGAGGUGUACGGAAUUCCUGGUGUAGCGGUGGAAUGCGUAGAUAUCAGGAAGAACACCGGUGGCG
This 362-nucleotide ribosomal RNA is filed under the name uncultured microorganism. Its description in RNAcentral is "bacterial SSU rRNA". It matches the Rfam family "Bacterial small subunit ribosomal RNA", at positions 366 to 717 of the family's 1533-position model. The record is from RNAcentral.